Tigriopus californicus is the source of this 566-nucleotide long non-coding RNA. RefSeq lists it as uncharacterized. The record is from RefSeq and is a predicted model, not a curated record. The transcript has 3 exons. Lineage: Eukaryota; Metazoa; Arthropoda; Copepoda; Harpacticoida; Harpacticidae.
CCUACGAUUGAUAUUUGCCUCUUGCUGAAAUAAUUGUUCGAAAGGAGUAAUUGGGGCUCGUUCCGCCCAUUCCUGUGACGAAUUCAUGGACUUCAAGCAUUCAGUAUUCUCAAAUUCAGACCACUCUGUUGUCAUUUCAAUAGCCUCUUCUACUGUCAAAUCAAAGUUAUACCACUUUUGCUAUUAUUCAUCUCAAGAGCAAGCUAACUUGAGAGUCUUUGUGCCCUACUGGUGAGCCUACUUACUGAUAGUCCAGGUGCCAAUGCCGCCAAUGCCCUCGUCUCCCCAAGGAAUGAUUUGCGCCGUGAUGUGUUUCUUCAGUGUGAUCUUCUUUCCCUUACGCUCAAUCAUGGAGGCAGCUUCCGCUUCGGGCAUUAAUCUGAUGGGUUUUCAUGGGGGUUAACAGGAGAAACAAAUGCAUACAGUUUGUGCCACUGGAUCGGUACUCGUAUCGACGGUAUUCAGGGCUCCACCACAAUAACCGGAAUGGACGCCCGAUGGAAACGAUAACGUACUCACAGGCUGGCAAUCAGUCUAUUCAACAAAAAUAGAUGGACGUCAUCAGA